UUAUCUUCCUGCCUGUCCCUCUCCCCAGCCUGCCGCUGCACUGUGCAUGGCCGCUGUGAUGAGGGCCUUGGGGGCUCUGGCUCCUGCUUCUGUGAUGAAGGCUGGACUGGGCCACGCUGUGAGGUGCAACUGGGUGAGUAGCCCCGUGCUCGUGCCCACCCUACACACUUGUGUACAUGUGCACACAUCAGUAAAGGCACCAAGGGUGGGUGGAACGGGCAGAGGCCAGGAAGGCAACUACUAACCUGGUUCUGGGGGCUGGGCCCUGGGGGACAGAGCUGCAGCCUGUGUGUACCCCACCCUGUGCACCCGAGGCUGUGUGCCGUGCAGGCAACAGCUGUGAGUGCAGCCUGGGCUAUGAAGGGGAUGGCCGCGUGUGUACAGGUAAGCAGAUGGGCGGGGACAUGGAGGUGGGAGGCCCCCACUCCCCUGCAGUCACUAGGUCCAACCACUCCCUCCCUGCCCUCAGUGGCAGACCUGUGCCAGGACGGGCAUGGUGGCUGCAGUGAGCACGCCAACUGUAGCCAGGUAGGAACAGUGGUCACUUGUACCUGCCUGCCCGACUACGAGGGUGAUGGCUGGAGCUGCCGGGCCCGCAACCCCUGCACAGAUGGCCACCGCGGGGGCUGCAGCGAGCACGCCAACUGCUUGAGCACCGGCCUGGUGAGCAGGUGGGGGAACCGAGUAGCCAGGGUGGGGAGGCCUGGCAGAACUUCCGACCUCUGAAGGGUGAAGGGCGCCCACUGCUCUCUCCAACCCCAGAACACACGGCGCUGUGAGUGCCACGCAGGCUACGUAGGCGAUGGACUGCAGUGUCUGGAGGAGUCGGAACCACCUGUGGACCGCUGCUUGGGCCAGCCACCGCCCUGCCACUCAGAUGCCGUGUGCACUGACCUGCACUUCCAGGGUGUGUCCCCCUGCCCACUCCCAGUACCCAUUUCAUUCCUCAGAGCCGGCCAGCUGACCAUGCACCCCUCCAUUCUGCAGAGAAACGGGCUGGCGUCUUCCACCUCCAGGCCACCAGCGGCCCUUAUGGUCUGAACUUUUCGGAGGCUGAGGCGGCAUGCGAAGCACAGGGAGCCGUCCUUGCUUCAUUCCCUCAGCUCUCUGCUGCCCAGCAGCUGGGCUUCCACCUGUGCCUCAUGGGCUGGCUGGCCAAUGGCUCCACUGCCCACCCUGUGGUUUUCCCUGUGGCGGACUGUGGCAAUGGUCGGGUGGGCAUAGUCAGCCUGGGUGCCCGCAAGAACCUCUCAGAACGCUGGGAUGCCUACUGCUUCCGUGUGCAAGAUGUGGCCUGCCGAUGCCGAGAUGGCUUCGUGGGUGACGGGAUCAGCACGUGCAAUGGGAAGCUGCUGGAUGUGCUGGCUGCCACUGCCAACUUCUCCACCUUCUAUGGGAUGCUAUUGGGCUAUGCCAAUGCCACCCAGCGGGGUCUCGACUUCCUGGACUUCCUGGAUGAUGAGCUCACGUAUAAGACACUCUUCGUCCCUGUCAAUGAA
RNAcentral lists this small RNA (1499 nucleotides) under Pan troglodytes (chimpanzee). Its description in RNAcentral is "retained intron". The record is from RNAcentral. Lineage: Eukaryota; Metazoa; Chordata; Mammalia; Primates; Hominidae.